CUAGCUACAGGCUUAACACAUGCAAGUCGAGGGGCAUCAGGAAGAAAGCUUGCUUUCUUUGCUGGCGACCGGCGCACGGGUGAGUAACACGUAUCCAACCUGCCCUUUACUCGGGGAUAGCCUUUCGAAAGAAAGAUUAAUACCCGAUAGCAUAAUGAUUCCGCAUGGUUUCAUUAUUAAAGGAUUCCGGUAAAGGAUGGGGAUGCGUUCCAUUAGGUUGUUGGUGAGGUAACGGCUCACCAAGCCUUCGAUGGAUAGGGGUUCUGAGAGGAAGGUCCCCCACAUUGGAACUGAGACACGGUCCAAACUCCUACGGGAGGCAGCAGUGAGGAAUAUUGGUCAAUGGGCGGUAGCCUGAACCAGCCAAGUAGCGUGAAGGAUGAAGGCUCUAUGGGUCGUAAACUUCUUUUAUAUAAGAAUAAAGUGCAGUAUGUAUACUGUUUUGUAUGUAUUAUAUGAAUAAGGAUCGGCUAACUCCGUGCCAGCAGCCGCGGUAAUACGGAGGAUCCGAGCGUUAUCCGGAUUUAUUGGGUUUAAAGGGAGCGUAGGUGGACUGGUAAGUCAGUUGUGAAAGUUUGCGGCUCAACCGUAAAAUUGCAGUUGAUACUGUCAGUCUUGAGUACAGUAGAGGUGGGCGGAAUUCGUGGUGUAGCGGUGAAAUGCUUAGAUAUCACGAAGAACUCCGAUUGCGAAGGCAGCUCACUGGACUGCAACUGACACUGAUGCUCGAAAGUGUGGGUAUCAAACAGGAUUAGAUACCCUGGUAGUCCACACAGUAAACGAUGAAUACUCGCUGUUUGCGAUAUACAGUAAGCGGCCAAGCGAAAGCAUUAAGUAUUCUACCUGGGGAGUACGCCGGCAACGGUGAAACUCAAAGGAAUUGACGGGGGCCCGCACAAGCGGAGGAACAUGUGGUUUAAUUCGAUGAUACGCGAGGAACCUUACCCGGGCUUAAAUUGCAGUGGAAUGAUGUGGAAACAUGUCAGUGAGCAAUCACCGCUGUGAAGGUGCUGCAUGGUUGUCGUCAGCUCGUGCCGUGAGGUGUCGGCUUAAGUGCCAUAACGAGCGCAACCCUUAUCUUUAGUUACAAACAGGUUAUGCUGAGGACUCUAGAGAGACUGCCGUCGUAAGAUGUGAGGAAGGUGGGGAUGACGUCAAAUCAGCACGGCCCUUACGUCCGGGGCUACACGCGUGUUACAAUGGGGGGUACAGAAGGCAGCUAGCGGGUGACCGUAUGCUAAUCCCAAAAGCCUCUCUCAGUUCGGAUCGAAGUCUGCAACCCGACUUCGUGAAGCUGGAUUCGCUAGUAAUCGCGCAUCAGCCACGGCGCGGUGAAUACGUUCCCGGGCCUUGUACACACCGCCCGUCAAGCCAUGGGAGCCGGGGGUACCUGAAGUACGUAACCGCAAGGAUCGUCCUAGGGUAAAACUGG
RNAcentral lists this ribosomal RNA (1432 nucleotides) under uncultured organism. RNAcentral describes it as "16S ribosomal RNA". It matches the Rfam family "Bacterial small subunit ribosomal RNA". The record is from RNAcentral.